UACGUAGGUCCCGAGCGUUGUCCGGAUUUAUUGGGCGUAAAGCGAGCGCAGGUGGUUUAAUAAGUCUGAUGUAAAAGGCAGUGGCUCAACCAUUGUGUGCAUUGGAAACUGUUAGACUUGAGUGCAGUAGAGGAGAGUGGAAUUCCAUGUGUAGCGGUGAAAUGCGUAGAUAUCGGGAGGAAGGCCGGUGGCGAAGGCGGCCUCCUGGGCCUGCACUGACGCUGAGGCGCGAAAGCGUGGGGAGCAAACCGG
This 252-nucleotide ribosomal RNA is filed under the name uncultured microorganism. Its description in RNAcentral is "partial 16S ribosomal RNA". It matches the Rfam family "Bacterial small subunit ribosomal RNA", at positions 524 to 776 of the family's 1533-position model. The record is from RNAcentral.